GGUCACACAAUCACACAGGAGGUGAGGUGGGGACACAGUGGGUCACACAAUCACACAGGAGGUCACAGGAGGUGAUGUGGGGACGCAGGAGGUGAGGUGGGGACACAGGAGGUGAGGUGGGGACACAGGAGGUGAUGUGGGGACGCAGGAGGUCACACAAUCACACAGGAGGUGAGGUGGGGACACAACAGGAGAUCACACAAUCACACAGGAGGUGAUGUGGGGACGCAGGAGGUGAGGUGGGGACACAGGGGGUCACACAAUCACACAGGAGAUGAGGUGGGGACGCAGGAGGUCACAGGAGGUGAUGUGGGGACACAGGAGGUGAUGUGGGGACACAGGGGGUCACACAAUCGCACAGGAGGUGAGGUGGGGGACACAGGAGGUGAGGUGGGGACACAGGAGGUCACACAAUCACACAGGAGGUCACAGGAGGUGAUGUGGGGACGCAGGAGGUGAUGUGGGGACACAGGAGGUGAUGUGGGGACACAGGGGGUCACACAAUCGCACAGGAGGUGAGGUGGGGGACACAGGAGGUGAGGUGGGGACACAGGAGGUCACACAAUCACACAGGAGGUCACAGGAGGUGAUGUGGGGACGCAGGAGGUGAGGUGGGGACACAACAGGAGGUCACACAAUCACACAGGAGGUGAUGUGGGGACGCAGGAGGUGAGGUGGGGA
Meleagris gallopavo (turkey) is the source of this 681-nucleotide non-coding RNA. Lineage: Eukaryota; Metazoa; Chordata; Aves; Galliformes; Phasianidae. The record is from RefSeq and is a predicted model, not a curated record.